GGACUACACGGGUAUCUAAUCCUGUUCGAUCCCCACGCUUUCGCGCCUCAGCGUCAGUAUUUUGCCAGGUGGCUGCCUUCGCCAUUGACGUUCCUUCCGAUCUCUACGCAUUUCACCGCUACACCGGAAAUUCCGCCACCCUCUCAUAUACUCCAGUUAGAUCGUUUGCAAUGCGCUUCCCAGGUUAAGCCCGGGGCUUUCACAUCACACUCAUCUUACCGCCUACGCGCCCUUUACGCCCAGUAAAUCCGAUUAACGCUUGCACCCUCUGUAUUACCGCGGCGGCUGGCAC
This 292-nucleotide ribosomal RNA is filed under the name uncultured bacterium. RNAcentral's name for it is "partial 16S ribosomal RNA". The record is from RNAcentral.